CUACGGGCGGCACCAGUGAGGAAUAUUGCACAAUGGGGGGAACCCUGAUGCAGCAACGCCGCGUGGAGGAUGACGCAUUUCGGUGUGUAAACUCCUUUUAUAUGUCAAGAAAAUGACGGUAGCAUAUGAAUAAACACCGGCUAACUCCGUGCCAGCAGCCGCGGUAAUACGGAGGGUGCAAGCGUUACUCGGAAUCACUGGGCGUAAAGGACGCGUAGGCGGGUUGGAAAGUCAGGUGUGAAAUCCUUCAGCUUAACUGUAGAACUGCACUUGAAACUUCUAAUCUAGAGUAUGGGAGGGGGAGAUGGAAUUAGUGGUGUAGGGGUAAAAUCCGUAGAUAUCACUAGGAAUACCUAAAGCGAAGGCGAUCUCCUGGAACAUUACUGACGCUAAGGCGUGAAAGCGUGGGGAGCAAACAGGAUUAGAUACCCCCGUAGUC
RNAcentral lists this ribosomal RNA (439 nucleotides) under uncultured bacterium. RNAcentral's name for it is "partial 16S ribosomal RNA". It matches the Rfam family "Bacterial small subunit ribosomal RNA", at positions 339 to 795 of the family's 1533-position model. The record is from RNAcentral.